This 319-nucleotide unclassified non-coding RNA is filed under the name plant metagenome. RNAcentral's name for it is "partial contains 5.8S ribosomal RNA, internal transcribed spacer 2, and large subunit ribosomal RNA". The stretch from base 1 to 104 matches the Rfam family "5.8S ribosomal RNA", at positions 51 to 154 of the family's 154-position model. The record is from RNAcentral.
AAAUGCGAUAAGUAAUGUGAAUUGCAGAAUUCAGUGAAUCAUCGAAUCAUUGAACGCACAUUGCGCCCGCCAGUAUUCUGGCGGGCAUGCCUGUUCGAGCGUCAUUACAACCCUCAGGCCCCCGGGCCUGGCGUUGGGGAUCGGCGGAAGCCCCCUGCGGGCACAACGCCGUCCCCCAAAUACAGUGGCGGUCCCGCCGCAGCUUCCAUUGCGUAGUAGCUAACACCUCGCAACUGGAGAGCGGCGCGGCCACGCCGUAAAACACCCAACUUCUGAAUGUUGACCUCGAAUCAGGUAGGAAUACCCGCUGAACUUAAGC